GAGGCGGCGGGGCGCGCCGCCUGGGCCGGACACGCCUUCGCGUCCUGUCCGGGUCCCCGAGCUCUGGUUGCCUGGAUAACUGCAGCGUUCCGGGGCGAGGUGCAGGGGCGGGGCGUAGGGCUGGCUGCUGCGGGACGUGGGGUCCUGGGUGGAGCCGGCAGCCAAGGCCCCUAAGAGAACUUCGCAGCUUUAACUUGGUGAACCUGGUGUAAUGUGAGGUGGUCUCCGGUUGGGCUAAAACAUUGUUGGGACUAAAGUGCUUCCUGCACCUCUUUCUACUGGUCUAUAAUUUUUUUAAGGUAUCUCUAAAAACACUUUUUUUUUUUUUUAAGGACGUGCUUAGUCUAGGCCAAACAAUGAGGGUGCCAAGAUGGCUUUUCGAGACCGCAGAUCUGUCAGACCCGCAGUCUGACAGCUCCGGACAGAGGCCGGAGGGAGGCGGGCCUGUCGGCUUUGGAACACUUUGAUCUCAGCCGGAAGAUAGGUGUUCCCGUCUCACAGGGCAGGGGGCGCCUGGAGAGCCGUAGGGUCUCUCAAUCCCCUCACCGCCGCUUCCUCACUCCUCCAAGGGAAAAAUGAAUUCGUACAUUUUUGGAGGUCCCUUUCUCUUGAAUUUUGAAUCCACCUUUCAAGAAUAAUUAUAGGGCUGGGACUGUAGAGUGCUUACCUAGUGUGCUUGAAGCCCUGGGUUCAAUCCCCAGGACCAUUUUGGAAAUGAGUCAUCACAGCCUCUGCCUUGGUGGCAUAAAUUUGUGUAUGUAUUCAAGCGAUAAAAUCAUUAUUUAACUAAAAAGAAAAAAAGGAAUAAUUGCACCAUUUUUUAAGGUAAGGAACUGUGUGCUUCGUUACCUUUUCACUCUUCUAAGGGAGAUUAAUCCAAGGGCUCAGUGCUAAAUAGUGACUCAGCUGCCCCACCCUAUAAGCAGCAAACUACUGAUGCUCAAGAAGGCCCACUUUAAGGACACUGAUCAGUGGUGGUGGGGGGAGUCAUUUUAAAGGACACAAGGAAAUUCUCAGUCUUCAGCUAGUCUCACUCAACAGAUGGGCUUGAU
This 1052-nucleotide long non-coding RNA is filed under the name Marmota monax (woodchuck). The record is from RNAcentral. Lineage: Eukaryota; Metazoa; Chordata; Mammalia; Rodentia; Sciuridae.